RNAcentral lists this unclassified non-coding RNA (253 nucleotides) under uncultured Sporolactobacillaceae bacterium. RNAcentral's name for it is "contains 16S-23S intergenic spacer region". It matches the Rfam family "Bacterial small subunit ribosomal RNA", at positions 524 to 776 of the family's 1533-position model. The record is from RNAcentral. Lineage: Bacteria; Bacillati; Bacillota; Bacilli; Caryophanales; Sporolactobacillaceae.
UACGUAGGUGACAAGCGUUGUCCGGAAUUAUUGGGCGCAAAGCGCGCGCAGGCGGUCCUUUAAGUCUGAUGUGAAAGCCCACGGCUCAACCGUGGAGGGCCAUCGGACACUGGGGGACUUGAGUGUAGGAGAGGAAAGUGGAAUUCCACGUGUAGCGGUGAGAUGCGUAGAUAUGUGGAGGAACACCAGUGGCGAAGGCGACUUUCUGGCCUAUAACUGACGCUGAGGCGCGAAAGCGUGGGGAGCAAACAGG